Small nuclear RNA from Medicago truncatula (barrel medic), 147 nucleotides. It matches the Rfam family "U4 spliceosomal RNA". Rfam says of the family: U4 small nuclear RNA (U4 snRNA) is a component of the major U2-dependent spliceosome. The structure of U4 snRNA from yeast and human has been reported. NCBI's taxonomy places the organism in Eukaryota, Viridiplantae, Streptophyta, Magnoliopsida, Fabales, Fabaceae. The record is from Rfam.
AUCUUUUCACUUGGGGCAAUGACGCAGCUAGUGAGGAAUUAACUGAGGCGCGUCUAUUGCUGGUUGAAAACUAUUUCCAAACCCCCUCUUAGGCUUGGUGCAACUGCCUUCGAGAAUUUUUGGAAGGACUCCCUUUUAGGUAAAGUC